CCAAGAAGAUUCAUUCUCCCCAAAAUUACAUUUGAAUUAAAUUAUGAGUGGUCGUCAGGAGAGGACGAGGAAAAGGAAAGCUAACGACUCUUCUGUGCAGACCUCCAGGCCAAAGGUGCACUUCAGGCUGGAAGAGACGCUCUCCAGCCGGUGUUAACAACUUUGGGAACAUGGCGACUUUACUUGAUAUGCCAGGCGACGCUGCUACACUUCAACAAGGUCUGGCAGCUCUGCAGACCUACGCAGAAGGAAUGAAUUUACCUGCAUCUCUGUAUGAAGGAGGGUGUCCAUAGGGAGCCUGAAGGACCUCAGCUGAGCUCAGAGAUGUCCUGGAAGAAAGUUC
Molecule: long non-coding RNA, 343 nt
Organism: Epinephelus fuscoguttatus (brown-marbled grouper)
Lineage: Eukaryota; Metazoa; Chordata; Actinopteri; Perciformes; Serranidae
Exons: 3
Source: RefSeq, a predicted model, not a curated record